This 465-nucleotide ribosomal RNA is filed under the name uncultured bacterium. RNAcentral describes it as "partial 16S ribosomal RNA". It matches the Rfam family "Bacterial small subunit ribosomal RNA", at positions 338 to 795 of the family's 1533-position model. The record is from RNAcentral.
CCUACGGGAGGCAGCAGUGGGGAAUAUUGCGCAAUGGGCGAAAGCCUGACGCAGCGACGCCGCGUGAGGGAUGAAGGUCUUCGGAUCGUAAACCUCUGUCAGCAGGGAAGAACGGUCACUGUGCUAAUCAGCAGUGAAUUGACGGUACCUGCAAAGGAAGCACCGGCUAACUCCGUGCCAGCCGCCGCGGUAAUACGGAGGGGGCGAGCGUUAAUCGGAAUUACUGGGCGUAAAGCGCUCGUUGGCGGUAUGUCAAGUCAAGGGUGAAAUCCCCGCGCUCAACGUUGGAAUUGCAUUUGAUACUGGCAAACUGGAGUGUGUGAGAGGAUAGUGGAAUUCUAGGUGUAGGAGUGAAAUCCGUAGAUAUCUGGAGGAACAUCAGUGGCGAAGGCGACUAUCUGGCACAUAACUGACGCUGAGGAGCGAAAGCGUGGGUAGCAAACAGGAUUAGAUACCCUUGUAGUC